Molecule: long non-coding RNA, 479 nt
Organism: Amphiprion ocellaris (clown anemonefish)
Lineage: Eukaryota; Metazoa; Chordata; Actinopteri; Pomacentridae
Source: Ensembl
GAAGAGGAAAAACAUGGUCAAAGAGAAGAAUAAAAGAUGGCUGCAAGAGUUAACCACUAUAUAUCUACUCAGGUCUGCAACAUUGAAAACUUUCCUGACAUUAAAUCUUGGCACCAAAUUUUUUACCACUCAGAAACCAGACACCAAAUACUGCAGUCAUUGCUAGACUAUGGAGAAAACCAACCUGACUUUUGUGUCUUGUAAUCACAAAUCAAGGUAUCUCAUUUCUUUACCACAAAGGUAAGUCCUUGGCAUCUUUCAGCUGAGUUGUAAGAAGGUCGAUGUCUGCCUGUUUCACUGGAAAGGUUGCCAGCUGUUCAAUCUUCUGCACCUUUGUGGGGAUGAAGGCAACCAGGUCACUGUAGCCUUUGAGAAAUGCAUCACCAGCUGUAAGGAAUUCUCUCAUGUCUUCUCCAGUUGGGAUAUUGAACUGAACUUCUCCAUCCAACUUGUCCUUCAGCUUUUGUGCUAUCUUGAAG